This 42-nucleotide non-coding RNA is filed under the name Trypanosoma brucei brucei. The record is from RNAcentral. Lineage: Eukaryota; Euglenozoa; Kinetoplastea; Trypanosomatida; Trypanosomatidae.
AUAUAAGGUAAAUGAGAGACGAGGGUAGACUUGUGAUACUAU